Molecule: non-coding RNA, 1915 nt
Organism: Sturnus vulgaris (Common starling)
Lineage: Eukaryota; Metazoa; Chordata; Aves; Passeriformes; Sturnidae
Source: RefSeq, a predicted model, not a curated record
UCUUCUUGAGGAAAAAUAAUCUGUACUUGUAUUUUCUUUAUAGUUCCAAUCCAUUAUGUCAACUGCCCAACUGGCAACAACACUGACUUUUUGCUACCAGGCAACACUCAAUAGGUGGUCUUGGGAAAAGGGAUUAAAGAGAGCACUAGGAGCAUUUCUCCAUGAUCACAGACUGCCAGGAUGAAACAUGUUCACACAGACAUGGGAAGGAACAACAUAUCCCUCAACUUCCAAACUUGUAAGGUCUCCAAGACCACCUCUCUGAGAUGCUUGGGAUAACCUGCAAGUCUCCACCAAUUGAAGUAUCACCUUUUGCAAGCCUAGGACUCCAAUGAGCAUUGUUUUCCCACCAGAAAAAUGAGGACUCAUUUUAGACAAAGGGACUUUGUACACAAUUAGAACAAAUCAAGCAAGUUCCCUCUUUCAAGACAUGGUAUGCCAAUUAUCUUAAGUUUUUCUAGCUCACAUUUUUCAUAAUCAUUCUCAUAUCUUAGUGCAAGUUUCCUGGAGAAAAAAAUAAUAGUUAUUAGAAAACAUAUUCACAGAAAGUAUCAAUUUUAAUAGAUUGUGUUAAAAUGGAUUGGGGGGUUGAAGAAUGUAAUUUAUCUAUAAAUGGCUUUAAAUUGAGUAUUUGUACCUUCAUUACCAUGCAGUCUCCAUAGAUUUCUACUAACUUUUCCAAGGUAAUACAGAUUCUCCUGAAGCCAAAUUACUUCUUAUGCCAACUGGACUUUUCAGCCUAUAACACUGGUGUGAAGUUGUUUCAGAUGUGUUGCAGUUUUUGAUCUGUGCUGCUCAACAACUAUGCCAAUCAUAGAUUUAAAGUGCUGAAUAAAGUAAACUUUCUAAUCAGGCUUCACAUGUGAGCUGUCUAUACUUCCACCCUAUAAAAAUCUAUGUUAUUGCAGGUCUUUAUUUCUCUUACAUAUCUUUUUCAUUUUAUAUCAUUAUCCUUGUCUACCGAUAACUUGUUCUGUUUCCAAACUGAAGACAUUUUUGCUUUCUUUCCAGAUUUCAUCCAUUAAUUAUAAUUAAUUAUUAUAACUGUAAUUAAUUAUAUUAGUUACACAGUAUGUAUAAUCAAUCAAUAAUUUUAGUAUAGAAUUAAUUCUUAUAAUUCAGUAUUUUAAAAGAGAGCAAAAUGGAACCCCAUACGUUCCUGAGAAAACCCUACGGCUUUAGGACCACUUGAGGGCAGUAAAAGAUAUUUCAGUAAUACAGAAGUAACAGACUAUAUCUUUACUUUUAUGAAUGGAUUGACAAAAGAAAAAAAAAGAUGGAAAUGAAAGAUAAUUGUAAGAAGGAUAUGUAGCUUCAGGAAGCAAAAGAACUGAAGGCUUGCUUCUCAGUGUAAACACUUCAGCAGGCUAAAUCUAUCUGGACAAAAUCUUGUGAAUUAUAAGCAGGGACUUAAGCUUCUUUUACUUUUUAUUUAUUUUCUACUUUUCUUUGUAAAAUCAGUGUGAUUUGACAGUUGGAGCAGAAGUGAAAAAAUGUAUGGUACGCAUCAUUCAAUCAAACCAGCAAAGCAACAGAGAAGGAGCAGGACAGAGCAAGAAGGAAAGUAAAGCAGUCUGUGGGCAAGAGAGGAGCGCUCACAAAGCGUUUGGAGAGAUGUUUUAUUUUGUCAUUUGCUUAGUGAGGUGGGGGCAUCUGCUGCUGCUCUAAGCUCCACCCAUGUCCUCUCCCCUUUUAGAAGAGCUGAUCAAAUACAGAGCAAAGCCACAGCUUCUGGGGCUUGGAGUCGUGUCCCUUCUGGGAAGAUUCUACUCCUCACUGGGUAAGACUAGAAACAAACUGAUUUUCACUGUGAGCCAAGGCUCAAAAAAGCCCAGAACAAGCCCUCUUCUAAAUAUAAACCUGAUUAAGAGAAAUAUGAGAAAUCACACAAUUUGGCAUUAAAUCCAAUCUCUUG